CAGUAUUGAACAUAUUUGAUCAGUUGUGGACAAAAAGCAGUUGCGUCACGUUUCAGUCUCCACGUGGAGAAAUCGGUUCACGUGAGUUACGUAACGUUUGCUGUGUGACAUCAUCACGUCAUCACGCUCCGUCACACUCUGACAACCGGCCGUCUGUUCGUGUGCACAAACACUCCGGAGUGAAACAGGAGGAGACAAACGAGAGAGGAGGUUCUGAUGUUCUGUUCGGUUCUGCACCUCCAGAUCGUUGACUCGUUCACAGCUGACUGUGUAGUAGUGUGAUGUAGUUAAAGCCUUCAAAGUAAAAGCAGAGUCAGUAAAACGUGACUGCAGCGACUCAUUCAGGGAAGUUUGCCAUCGACUUCAACCAUUAGCAGAAAAAGAUUUAUCAUUUUGACCAAACCUACGUUCAUCCUCACGACCAUCUGUCCAUCAUUUCCAUCAUCCCACUCCACCUCCCAGUGACGCGGUCCAGUCAGAACCUGAUUACAUGCGGUGACCCUGUCUGGGUCAACUGAUUUUUACUGACGAGAACAAACCAGAUCAGCUGCUGCUGAGGUUCAUUUCUUCUCUAACUUAAAUCAAUGAAUCAAACAAAUCUUUGUUUAUUUUUGCAUUUUAUAUAUUUUGUUUAUUUUAUUAACAAGAAGACUUUAAUAAGUGAAACUGAAGCCUGUCGUCUCUGAGAAUCAUAAACAGAACGAGCAUUAAUGAAGCUGAUGAUUUCUGCUUGUCUUGAUUAAAAUGAUGUCGUCUGUCUGUUUAUGUCGACGACUCCUGAGAGAUUUCAACCUCUGAACGUCACUCGAUCCCCUGAAACUGUCAGAUAUCUUCACACUGUGAUGGAAGUCUGACUGUAGAAGGAAACGUGGAGAGAUCGUAUCGAUAGGAAAGUAUUUUAUUCUUCAUGUUGGUCUGAAAGUCGGGAAUAAAAGUGUGAAGAAAAACUAAUGUGGCAGUUAAAUAUCAGGAAGCUACAGAGGAGACCAAGUUAUAAAUGUUGGAGAUCCUCCUUCACCUUCAGUCUUUAUCCUCCAGGUGGCGCUGCAGACGAGUGAAAGUCAUCAAGGAGCAUUGAGUAAAGCCAGGCUGGGAUAUUAAUGUUAUUUAAUGACUACAUUUGUUGGUACCCUUCACUAACAUCUAUAUCUGUCUGACCACGUUCAUGAUCCUGGAUUAAAACGCUUCAUCACAGA
Molecule: long non-coding RNA, 1196 nt
Organism: Acanthopagrus latus (yellowfin seabream)
Lineage: Eukaryota; Metazoa; Chordata; Actinopteri; Spariformes; Sparidae
Exons: 3
Source: RefSeq, a predicted model, not a curated record